UACGUAGGGCGCAAGCGUUGUCCGGAAUUAUUGGGCGUAAAGAGCUCGUAGGCGGUCUGUCACGUCUGCCGUGAAAACCCGAGGCUUAACCUCGUGGCUUGCGGUGGAUACGGGCAGACUAGAGGUAGGUAGGGGAGAACGGAAUUCCCGGUGUAGCGGUGAAAUGCGCAGAUAUCGGGAGGAACACCGGUGGCGAAGGCGGUUCUCUGGGCCUUACCUGACGCUGAGGAGCGAAAGCAUGGGGAGCGACCAGG
This 254-nucleotide ribosomal RNA is filed under the name uncultured bacterium. RNAcentral describes it as "partial 16S ribosomal RNA". It matches the Rfam family "Bacterial small subunit ribosomal RNA", at positions 524 to 776 of the family's 1533-position model. The record is from RNAcentral.